This 253-nucleotide ribosomal RNA is filed under the name uncultured bacterium. RNAcentral's name for it is "partial 16S ribosomal RNA". It matches the Rfam family "Bacterial small subunit ribosomal RNA", at positions 524 to 776 of the family's 1533-position model. The record is from RNAcentral.
UACGGAGGGGGCGAGCGUUGUCCGAAGUUACUGGGCGUAAAGCGCGCGUAGGCGGGUUGGUAAGUCCGCUGUGAAAGCCCGGAGCUUAACUCCGGAGGGUCGGUGGAUACUGCCAGUCUUGAAGGUGCUAGGGGGAGAUGGAAUUACCGGUGUAGCGGUGAAAUGCGUAGAUAUCGGUAGGAACACCAGUGGCGAAGGCGGUCUCCUGGGGCAUUCUUGACGCUGAGGCGCGAAAGCGUGGGGAGCAAACGGG